RNAcentral lists this non-coding RNA (24 nucleotides) under Arabidopsis thaliana (thale cress). The record is from RNAcentral. Lineage: Eukaryota; Viridiplantae; Streptophyta; Magnoliopsida; Brassicales; Brassicaceae.
CAUCAAUUGCCCACAUCAAGGAAA